This 265-nucleotide ribosomal RNA is filed under the name uncultured prokaryote. RNAcentral's name for it is "partial 16S ribosomal RNA". It matches the Rfam family "Bacterial small subunit ribosomal RNA", at positions 524 to 788 of the family's 1533-position model. The record is from RNAcentral.
UACGGAGGAUCCGAGCGUUAUCCGGAUUUAUUGGGUUUAAAGGGUGCGCAGGCGGGAGAUUAAGUCGGCGGUGAAAUUUUGCAGCUCAACUGUAAAAGUGCCUUCGAUACUGGUUUCCUUGAGUGUGGAUGAAGUAAGCGGAAUUUGUGGUGUAGCGGUGAAAUGCAUAGAUAUCACGAGGAACUCCGAUUGCGCAGGCAGCUUACUAAACCAUAACUGACGCUCAGGCACGAAGGCGUGGGGAUCAAACAGGAUUAGAUACCCG